Non-coding RNA from Spodoptera litura, 322 nucleotides. Lineage: Eukaryota; Metazoa; Arthropoda; Insecta; Lepidoptera; Noctuidae. The record is from RefSeq and is a predicted model, not a curated record.
UUCUAUUAUAGUUGAGUUCAAUACCGACGUGUUUGUGACUAACAAGGAUGAAGAUGAAAAUGUUAUUAAUUGUGUUCCUCUGCUUUUUCGUUGAGAUGUCGCUACAAACAGGGUCGAGGUACUAUGGAAAUAGAAAGUCAGCUUCCAAUGAAACGGAACAAGACAAGACAAAAAAACUUAGGCCUAUGCUUCGGGGCCAAGGUCAAUCUAGUUCAAAUGCAAUGGACUCUCAAUGCGUCAUAAGUUAAUAAAAAAAGCUUAUAUUAAAAACAAACGAUAUUUUAAUUGUUGAAUUAAAUAUCAAUCUGUUCAGUGAAAUGUA